CAGGAAUGUUACACAUUUAUUUUGAAUGGCAGAUCAGAGGGCAGUCCAAGGGAGGCUUCAACUGAGGCUUUUCCUGGAACUGGGACUACGUGCAGCCUGAGGUUGUUUCUAAUGGAGGACUUAAUUUCAGGCUCCUCACUUCAACAUGGCGGCCUCAAAACAACUUUAUCCAGAUGAGGACUCUUGUUCCGUGCAAUCCAACCAGUUGGCUCUCCAUUUCACUGGGAAGAACCAAAAUGUUCAUAAUGGCCUUAAGCUACACGGGACGCCAGAAACUUAAAUUGGACCAGCAGUAGCAUCAGUAUCACAGAGGCCCGAUAGAUGUGCCAAAUCUCAGGGCUGGACUCAGACUUCCGGAACCAGAUUCUUCAUUUGACAAGGUCUCCGGGUCAUUGGUAAUGCACGUUGAAGGUUGAGAAAUGCUGCUCUAGACUAGGAGUCAGCACAGUUCCUCACCAAAAGGCCAUAUAGUAAAUACUUAGGCUUCGCAGACCACA
Molecule: long non-coding RNA, 497 nt
Organism: Hyaena hyaena (striped hyena)
Lineage: Eukaryota; Metazoa; Chordata; Mammalia; Carnivora; Hyaenidae
Exons: 2
Source: RefSeq, a predicted model, not a curated record